GACGAACGCUGGCGGCGUGCUUAACACAUGCAAGUCGAACGGAAAGGCCCUGCUUUUGUGGGGUGCUCGAGUGGCGAACGGGUGAGUAACACGUGAGUAACCUGCCCUUGACUUUGGGAUAACUUCAGGAAACUGGGGCUAAUACCGGAUAGGAGCUCCUGCUGCAUGGUGGGGGUUGGAAAGUUUCGGCGGUUGGGGAUGGACUCGCGGCUUAUCAGCUUGUUGGUGGGGUAGUGGCUUACCAAGGCUUUGACGGGUAGCCGGCCUGAGAGGGUGACCGGCCACAUUGGGACUGAGAUACGGCCCAGACUCCUACGGGAGACAGCAGUGGGGAAUAUUGCACAAUGGGCGGAAGCCUGAGGCAGCAACGCCGCGUGCGGGAUGACGGCCUUCGGGUUGUAAACCGCUUUCGCCUGUGACGAAGCGUGAGUGACGGUAAUGGGUAAAGAAGCACCGGCUAACUACGUG
This 468-nucleotide ribosomal RNA is filed under the name uncultured bacterium. Its description in RNAcentral is "partial 16S ribosomal RNA". It matches the Rfam family "Bacterial small subunit ribosomal RNA", at positions 28 to 507 of the family's 1533-position model. The record is from RNAcentral.